GGGGGAGUAUGCUCUCUGCUUUGGUGAGGUUCAGUCGCAAGGUUUACCCCUGGUGCUGUGAGAAGGGCAAUUUCCUGCUGUGGGCUGGAGGAGCAGUGGCUGCUUGUUAAUGACAUGGUGGAAAUGGGGGGAGGUGGUGGCCAGGGCAGUGAGCAGCACCUGCUGCUUUUCAGAGGUAAGAGAGGAGAAUAAUUGAGACACAAAGGACAGUAAUCCAGCUGAGCAGCCCAUCUGUUCCUGGGAGGAGCACAGAAAGGAAGGAAGGAGUGUCUACUUCCCUGCUAUGCUGUUUGAUCCCUGUUGACUUCUCUGUGUGUUUGCAUUUGUAUGCAAAAGUUCUUCUUGUACCAUUAUCAAGAACAGGUAAUAUAUGGGAAGAGUCUUACUUGAAUUCUUUUCAUGGGCAAAAUAUUUCAGUUCUGUCUUUCUUGUAAUCUAUUUCAGAAACUUUGAGGCAUUCAGAUGAUAAAGAUAUAGUGUCUUCCAUAAAAAGUAACACUUCAAGUAAAAGCAUUUACUUAUAGGUUGUAAUUGUUUUUUAAGUCAUAUUUAUAGGGGGUAAAUGCAAUGCAAUUUACGAUAGUUUAAACCAACCAUGAGAAUACUUCAUGCUCGUAAACUGAGUUUCACUUCUAAACUGUUAUGAAUACCCAAGAGACAAUGAAUUUGCACACAUACAUUUUAAAACCUGGGUUUUCUCCCCCCCCCCCCCC
RNAcentral lists this long non-coding RNA (713 nucleotides) under Anas platyrhynchos platyrhynchos (common mallard). RNAcentral describes it as "lncRNA (ENSAPLG00000022494.1)". The record is from RNAcentral. Lineage: Eukaryota; Metazoa; Chordata; Aves; Anseriformes; Anatidae.